UGCCCACAUCAUGUUGAAACACCUGUUCCCGUAUUAUCACGGAAGUUAAGCAACAUUGAACCUGGUCUGUAUCUAGAUGGGUGACCACUAGGGAAUACCAGGUGCUGUGA
Non-coding RNA from Acanthosepion pharaonis, 110 nucleotides. The record is from the annotation of a GenBank genome assembly. NCBI's taxonomy places the organism in Eukaryota, Metazoa, Mollusca, Cephalopoda, Sepiida, Sepiidae.